Molecule: ribosomal RNA, 1512 nt
Filed under: uncultured bacterium
Lineage: Bacteria
Description: partial 16S ribosomal RNA
Source: RNAcentral
CGGUUACCUUGUUACGACUUGACGAACGCUGGCGGCGUGCUUAACACAUGCAAGUCGAACGGUAAGGCCCCUUCGGGGGUACACGAGUGGCGAACGGGUGAGUAACACGUGAGCAACCUGCCCUUGACUCUGGGAUAACAGUUAGAAAUAGCUGCUAAUACUGGAUAUUCACUUCCUCUCGCAUGGGGGGUGGUGGAAAGCUCCGGCGGUCAAGGAUGGGCUCGCGGCCUAUCAGCUUGUUGGUGAGGUAAUGGCUCACCAAGGCUUCGACGGGUAGCCGGCCUGAGAGGGCGACCGGCCACACUGGGACUGAGAUACGGCCCAGACUCCUACGGGAGGCAGCAGUGGGGAAUAUUGCACAAUGGACGCAAGUCUGAUGCAGCAACGCCGCGUGCGGGAUGACGGCCUUCGGGUUGUAAACCGCUUUCAUCCAUGACGAAGCGCAAGUGACGGUAGUGGAAGAAGAAGGACCGGNNCCAACUNACGUGNCCAGCAGCCNGCNGGUGNAUACGUNAGGGUNCCGAGCGUUGUCCNGGAANUUAUUGGGCGUAAAGNAGCNUUGUAGGCNGGCUUGUCACGUCNGGAAGUGAAAACUCAGGGCUUAACCCUGAGCCUGCUUCCGAUACGGGCUGGCUAGAGGAAGGUAGGGGAGAAUGGAAUUCCUGGUGGAGCGGUGGAAUGCGCAGAUAUCAGGAGGAACACCAGUGGCGAAGGCGGUUCUCUGGACCUCUCCUGACGCUGAGAAGCGAAAGCGUGGGGAGCAAACAGGCUUAGAUACCCUGGUAGUCCACGCCGUAAACGGUGGGCACUAGGUGUGGGGGACAUUNCCACGUUCUCCGUGCCGUAGCUAACGCAUUAAGUGCCCCGCCUGGGGNAGUACGGNCCGCAAGGNCUAAAACUCAAAGGNAAUUGACGGGGGNCCCGCACAAGCGGCGGAGCAUGCGGNANUUAAUNCGAUGCNAACGCGAANGAACCNUUACCUGGGUUUGANCAUGUACCGGRAWNAUYCAKAGAUGGGUGCGCCGUAAGGUCGGUAUACAGGUGGUGCAUGGCUGUCGUCAGCUCGUGUCGUGAGAUGUUGGGUUAAGUCCCGCAACGAGCGCAACCCUCGUCCUAUGUUGCCAGCGGGUAAUGCCGGGGACUCGUAGGAGACUGCCGAGGUCAACUCGGAGGAAGGUGGGGAUGACGUCAAGUCAUCAUGCCCCUUAUGUCCAGGGCUUCACGCAUGCUACAAUGGCUGGUACAAUGGGCUGCGAUACCGCAAGGUGGAGCGAAUCCCAAAAAGCCAGUCUCAGUUCGGAUUGGGGUCUGCAACUCGACCCCAUGAAGUCGGAGUCGCUAGUAAUCGCAGAUCAGCAACGCUGCGGUGAAUACGUUCCCGGGCCUUGUACACACCGCCCGUCAAGUCAUGAAAGUCGGCAACACCCGAAGCCGGUGGCCCAACCCCCUUGUGGGGAGGGAGCUGUCGAAGGUGGGGCUGGUAAUUAGGACUCUGAGCCAGGAUCAAACUCU